Molecule: non-coding RNA, 29 nt
Filed under: Homo sapiens (human)
Lineage: Eukaryota; Metazoa; Chordata; Mammalia; Primates; Hominidae
Source: RNAcentral
CCCCGAUUAUACAGAGGUUGGAUUUCUGC